UCUAGUUUACAAAAACGAAAAAAGCUCAGGAGGGAAGAACAAAUGGCGGCAAAAUAAAACGAUGCGAAAAAAUUAGAGAAAAGAAAUCAGUUUAAAGAGUCAAAACCUAAAGAAGCCAUAAUAUGCUUUCAAAACUCUCUGCAUUUUUCUUAAGAUCCCGAAUAUAUCCCUCCCUCAAUUCUCUCUAAUUUUCUUACUCAUCCUUGUAAUCGCUUUUAUGAUCGUACAAAUAAAGGUUCAUACAAAGGGUGAGAUCAACUAUUUAACAGCAAGGUGUUAACUGCAGUUCACAACAGAGAUAGGAUUUAUACCAUACUAGAUAAAUUAAAUGGGAAAGUGUGUGCAGAAGUUAACUGUCUUUUUGCUUUUUCAAAUAAACAUUGAUAUCAGAAGUUGUUUCUGCAUGCAACAGGUGGGUAACAUUUUAGUUGUGAUCUUGUUGGUGAAAAAUCAAGGUGACUAUAUCUUUGCGAAAUUGGUUUACUGUCUUCUGGAUACAACAAUAAAGUAGCAGGCAUUUCAGAGAUGUUAGUUUUGCCUGAAUCAGGUAUUUUUUUACACACUAGAUCUUUAUUAUUAACAAGCUUUUGAGCUCCUCAUGUAAAGACCAUGCCAUUACAGACACUGAAAAAAUUUUAAGGAAUCAUGAUCUUCUAAAAGACUUGGUGAUAAUUCAUGGAGGUCGGGCUACAGCUUGAUGCAGACAUCAGGCCCUACAAGAGCUUACACUUUGCCGCCUAGAUACAAUGGCAAAAGGGAAACGUAGAUGUUAGAAGCAGUGUCUUUUCUCUGGAUGGUGUGUUUGGUAAUUAAAGAACUAAAAGUAACAUUUCAUACCUUUCCAAAAGCAGUACUGAAUUCCCUCAGUUGAAAGUCCUGGUAGACAUGGAUUAGUUUUAUGUUCCAAAGUAUACAGUUCGUCUAGGUUUGGUACUUGGUUACAUCAUGAUUGGGAAAAUAUCCACUUACACAUAGUGCUCUGUCCGUAGCCUGCUCACAUUCUUCAAUU
Non-coding RNA from Durio zibethinus, 1009 nucleotides. NCBI's taxonomy places the organism in Eukaryota, Viridiplantae, Streptophyta, Magnoliopsida, Malvales, Malvaceae. The record is from RefSeq and is a predicted model, not a curated record.